This 253-nucleotide ribosomal RNA is filed under the name uncultured bacterium. Its description in RNAcentral is "partial 16S ribosomal RNA". It matches the Rfam family "Bacterial small subunit ribosomal RNA", at positions 524 to 776 of the family's 1533-position model. The record is from RNAcentral.
UACGGAGGGUGCAAGCGUUAUCCGGAUUCACUGGGUUUAAAGGGUGCGUAGGCGGACAGGUAAGUCAGUGGUGAAAUCUCUGGGCUUAACCCAGAAACUGCCGUUGAUACUAUUUGUCUUGAAUAUCCUGGAGGUAGGCGGAAUAUGUCAUGUAGCGGUGAAAUGCUUAGAUAUGACAUAGAACACCAAUUGCGAAGGCAGCUGGCUACACAUAUAUUGACACUGAGGCACGAAAGCGUGGGGAUCAAACAGG